CGAGUAUUAAUACCUUAAAAAUACCAAUACGAAAAAAUACGCCGAAAAUACGUAUUAAAUAUGUUUUUUUCGUCUUUUUUUUAAAAUGAAUUAGGGUUUUGCAAAUACGUAUUUAAUACGUUUUCAUACGUUUUCAGUACGUAUUUUUCAAAAUAAAACCAUAGAACUUACUCACUUACAUGAAAAAGAUUUCAUCUCUCUCAAUUUCUACCAUUUCCUAAACUCUAAAUCCUCCAAUUUCGUCGCACCAUCGGAGCACCUUCUUCACCGCCGUCGAGACGGCCGUCGACGCCGUCUGUACCGCCGCCGAAGCGCGCCGCCUUCUGGAAACCCUAAUUCUGGGUAUGUUGUGCAGAUUAGGUGGAAAUCCUAAUAUUUGAAUGUGUGGGAUAAGGGCUGCGUGGCUUAGUAAAUAAGCUAGGGUUUGAUAGUGGGCUUGUGGGCUUGUGGGCU
Molecule: long non-coding RNA, 453 nt
Filed under: Salvia miltiorrhiza (redroot sage)
Lineage: Eukaryota; Viridiplantae; Streptophyta; Magnoliopsida; Lamiales; Lamiaceae
Description: long non-coding RNA (SMIL_LNC012230)
Source: RNAcentral